RNAcentral lists this long non-coding RNA (387 nucleotides) under Vigna radiata. RNAcentral's name for it is "long non-coding RNA (VRAD_LNC009541)". Lineage: Eukaryota; Viridiplantae; Streptophyta; Magnoliopsida; Fabales; Fabaceae. The record is from RNAcentral.
UCCCCAAUUAAGUCCUUACAAGUGCUAAUUUGAAUCAAUUGAGUUCCUACCAUUAAAUUGGCUUAACGAUGUUAACUUUUUGAUGAGCUGGAACGUUGACGUGGCCAGUUUUUGCCACAUCACUCCUGUCACGUCAGCAUCAUCUUCCUCAACGACAAAGCACCAUCUUCCUCAACAACAUUUUAAAAAUUUUUAAAAAAGUCAUCUUCCAUUACAACACCACCCAGAACCAUCAUCAUCUUCCUCGUGCACCAUCAACCUACAAUCAAGUAACCACAAAAUAAAAAUCGUGACUCCGCCAUGUUCGCUUUAAUUCAUCUCCUUCCAUCCAACACUGCGAGGGCAAGUCGCCACCAUGGCCAAUGUAACCAACGCUCAAGCUCUUCG